Molecule: long non-coding RNA, 199 nt
Filed under: Olea europaea (common olive)
Lineage: Eukaryota; Viridiplantae; Streptophyta; Magnoliopsida; Lamiales; Oleaceae
Description: long non-coding RNA (OEUR_LNC005075)
Source: RNAcentral
AUUCGUUUGCGAUCAUGUGCUAUCUGAAUCUACAAAUCGCCUAUGCCAUGUAAAAGUUUGUUUCGAAAACUACAUCGUUUUCAUAUCGAAUGAUCCAAACGGAUAUCGAAAAUAGUUAAAUAUGUAUCAAACGUACGCCUCAAAAAAGACGUCUAACUCGUUUUUUCUUUUAAAAAAUUCAAUUAAUUAUUAUUUUUGC